GACGAACGCUGGCGGCGUGCUUAACACAUGCAAGUCGAACGGAAAGGCCCUGCUUUUGUGGGGUGCUCGAGUGGCGAACGGGUGAGUAACACGUGAGUGACCUUCCCGUGACGUUGGGAUAACUUCAGGAAACGGGGGCUAAUACCGGAUAGGAGCUCCUGCUGCAUGGUGGGGGUUGGAAAGUUUCGGCGGUUGGGGAUGGACUCGCGGCUUAUCAGCUUGUUGGUGGGGUAGUGGCUUACCAAGGCUUUGACGGGUAGCCGGCCUGAGAGGGUGACCGGACCCAUUGGGACUGAGAUACGGCACAGCCUCCUACGGGAGGCAGCAGUGGGGAAUAUUGCACAAUGGGCGGAAGCAUGAUGAAGCAACGCCGCGUGCGGGAUGACGGCCUUCGGGUUGUAAACCGCUUUCGCAUGUGCAGAAGAGUGAGUGACGGUACUGGGUAAAGAAGCACCGGCUAACUACGUG
RNAcentral lists this ribosomal RNA (468 nucleotides) under uncultured bacterium. RNAcentral's name for it is "partial 16S ribosomal RNA". It matches the Rfam family "Bacterial small subunit ribosomal RNA", at positions 28 to 507 of the family's 1533-position model. The record is from RNAcentral.